This 406-nucleotide ribosomal RNA is filed under the name uncultured bacterium. RNAcentral describes it as "partial 16S ribosomal RNA". It matches the Rfam family "Bacterial small subunit ribosomal RNA", at positions 30 to 526 of the family's 1533-position model. The record is from RNAcentral.
AUUGAACGCUGGCGGCAGGCCUAACACAUGCAAGUCGAGCGAGAGGCGGACGGGUGAGUAAUGUCUGGGAAACUGCCUGAGGGAGGGGGAUAACUACUGGAAACGGUAGAUCAUACAGCAUACCAUCAGAGAUGCCCAGAUGGGAUUAGCUAGGAGGUGGGGUAACGGCUCACCUAGGCGACGAUCCCUAGCUGGUCUGAGAGGAUGACCAGCCACACUGGAACUUGGACACGGUCCAAACUCCUACGGGAGGCAGCAGUGGGGAAUAUUGCACAAUGGGCGCAAGCCUGAUGCAGCCAUGCCGCGUGUGUGAAGAAGGCCUUCGGGUUGUAAAGCACUUUCAGCGGGGAGGCGUUACCCGCAGAAGAAGCACCGGCUAACUCCGUGCCAGCAGCCGCGGUAAUUC